UGGAGAUGAAAUACUUGAGAGUUCUACUAGCCAUCCUGUGGAUUCAUUUAAGCUGGGUGAGAAGCCAACAGAAGGAGGUGGAGCAGAAUCCUGAAUUUCUCCCUGUUUCUGAGAAAGCCAUGGCCUCUUUCAACUGUACUUACAGCAAUAGUGCUAAUCAGUACUUCGUGUGGUACAGACAAUAUUCUGGGAAAGGCCCUGAAAUGUUGGUCUCCAUAUACUCGGGCAAUGAGAAAAAUACAAAUGGAAGGUUUACAGUACAUCUCAAUAAAGCCAGCAAGCAUGUCUCUCUGCUCAUCAAGGACUCCCAGCCCAGUGACUCAGCCACCUACCUCUGUGCAGUCAGCACACAGUGCUCCCCAGGCACCUGCAGCCUGUAG
Otolemur garnettii (small-eared galago) is the source of this 380-nucleotide non-coding RNA. The record is from the annotation of a RefSeq genome assembly. Lineage: Eukaryota; Metazoa; Chordata; Mammalia; Primates; Galagidae.